GGAUGUGAGGGUGAUAUGCCUGGCCAGGUGGGUAUCCCCUUCCUCCCUCACCUCUCCACAUGCAUCCCUCCCAAAGCUGCGCUCGGUGGAAGAGGACGUCCUUCCCCAAGUAGAGGAGGCCCAGGCUUCCGUAUAUGAGUAGCUGUGCUCUCUGCUAGAACCUCCAAACAAGCUCUCAUGGUCCCAAGGCAGGGUCUCACUCUAGCUCAAGCUGACUUGGAAUUCACUAUGUAG
Molecule: small nuclear RNA, 234 nt
Filed under: Jaculus jaculus (lesser Egyptian jerboa)
Lineage: Eukaryota; Metazoa; Chordata; Mammalia; Rodentia; Dipodidae
Description: 7SK RNA (ENSJJAG00000007073.1)
Rfam family: 7SK RNA
About the family: 7SK was discovered as an abundant small nuclear RNA in the mid-70s but a possible function has only recently been suggested. Two independent studies have found that 7SK RNA binds the CDK9/cyclin T complex (known as elongation factor P-TEFb). P-TEFb activates transcription by phosphorylating the C-terminal domain of RNA polymerase II.
Source: Rfam by way of RNAcentral